AAAAGUGUGAAGUGGAAAUGAAGAAACAGCCAGAGCCUCGACGAAAACGAAGACACAGUAAUGAGAUGGACCAUCCUCACAGUGACCACCAAUGACAUUAUGUAUGGGAUAAUGUAUACCAGAGCCGUCGCGAGGGAGAAGGAACGGCAGCAUAUGAGGGACGCAUCACAAUCACAUAACCCAAGAGUUAGCGGUGUGAAGUUACACCAGCGGUGGCCAAUACAUGGAUCCCUAUCCACGAGUGGAUCGCAAAAGAUUUUUGGUGGAUCUCAGGACAAAUCGGAACAAGCACUAGCAUGAUGCAGGGGAACUGAUGGCAGGCAAGACUGCAUUAACAGGGAGCCAGGAGUUCAAACAUGAAAAUAUAUUAAAUACAGUGCUUCAAAACGGCACGCAGUGUGCGGAGAGGCAGCCCAUCCCGCUACCAUAAACAGCAAGCAGCGCAUUCUGAGGAACAUGUAGGUAAAGUUGUAUCUUUUUAAUUUUGUUGAUGCAAAAGUAUUGAACUGCACAAGUGUUAUGUAAGAAAGAAAACAAACAAACAAAAAAGAUCUGUAGAUAUUCAACAUUACAUUUGAGCAAAAAUUCUAUUAUUAUUAUUAUUAUUAUUAUUAUUAUUAUUAUUAUUAUUAUUAUUAUUAUUAUUAUAUUUGUGUGCCCCUAAAUUUCAGUGCGUGGCUAUCUAUCUAAAAAAGUUUGCGUAGAGCGUUUGUUAGGUUUUUGGUGUUGUGGUUGUUUUGUUUUAUUAUUACUGUUACGUAUUGGACACUAAUAUAUUAAAUUCCGCUAAUAAUUGUUUGUCAUAGCUUACUGGUGGAUCGCGGAGCCCUUUGAGAUCCACCAAAAUGGAUUGCAGUGUUUUGUGUAUUGGCCACCACUGCCUUAGGUCACCCAGCGGAGCCAUGAGAACCGGAACUGUCCUGGUGACUGUCCACGAUUGAGGAGCUCGCUUGCGGUUCGACCUGUCCCAUGCGGGAGCGCGGGGAGAGAGCAACGCGAACACCUGCUGGGACGCCUCGCAUUCCCGGUGGGAUCUCUGCAAGAUCUCCUCCACAGCUGGCCCAAAGUGAAUGAAGGUGCAGUUGACAGUCUGCAGGCUCCAAAGCCAAGGAACAGAGCUGAGUUUUUAAAAUAUUCCUGUCAGCUCACACUGGACCCCAACACAGCGUAUAGAGAGCUCUGUCUGUCUGAAGGGAAUAGAAAGGUGACACGGAGGAGAGAGACCCAGAGGUAUCCUGAUGAUCACCAAGAGAGAUUUGAGAGCUAUCCCCAAGUGCUGUGCAGAGAGGGUUUGUCUGGGACUCGCUGUUACUGGGAGAUUGAGUGCAGUGGGGGAGGGGCUGCUAUAGGAGUCACAUAUAAAGAAAUCAGCAGGAAAGGAGGGGAUUCCUGUGGCCUUGGAUUCAAUGACAAGUCCUGGAGUUUGCUCUGCUCUGGUUCCAGUUACACUGCCCGGCACAAUAACAAUGAAACUGCAAUAACUGCCCCCCGCUCCCCCAGAAUAGGAGUGUAUCUGGACUUUAAUGCCGGCACGCUGUCCUUUUAUGGCGUCUCUGACACAAUGACCCUCCUGCACAGAUUCCAAACCACAUUCACUGAGCCGCUCUAUCCUGGGUUUUGGGUUUGGGAUUAUGAAUCCCCUGUAACAAUCUGCCAGCUGAACUAGACUGUUUUGUGUUGUAAGAAACCCUUUGUAUUGAACUCCCUGUCUGUCCUCUCCACUCCUCGGGUGAAGGGAAUGUUCAAUCUGACACAACUUUGGAUGAAAGUUAGGGGGUAAAACGGCGCCACCUGCAGAGCGAAACUAGGGAAUUAUUUGUUUUUAUGCUUGUGGCAUAACAUUUGUAAUUGUAAACACUCACACCUGGACAGCUGUUUCAGCAUAAAACGUUCAAUAUGUCGUGAGUAUGAGAAGUAUCUCUUAAGGUGAUUGUAGCUCACUAAAUAAUUCCACACUGUGUUCCUAUAUUGCACUUCCAUGGCUACACAGGACUCAAAUGUGCAGGUUUGAAAAACAUGAUGGGCAAGAUUCUCAGAAAUCCAUGAUCUUGUUUCGAAUGGGAUUUUGUGUCUCAAAUGGAUAUUUAUAGUAUAUAGCUGAACUAUCUGGGAUUUAGGUACAUCUUGCAAAUCUAUAACCCGUGAGGCUUCAUACAUACCUUUAUACAGAAAAGCAAUAGGUACAAGAUGCCUUUUCCUCAUGUUAUAAUUGUAAAUUAGUUUAAAUAUUAGUUUAAAUAUAGUUUGUAAAUUAUCUCAUUGGAAAUGGUUGCAUAUUUACUCUUGACUUGCAUUUAAUUAGAUGUAUCGGGUCUACUCGUCAGGCAGUUCAAAGUUUCAAUAUUAUAAUUGUUUACUUAUUUUAACUAUAAUGUGAGUGAAAUAUCAUCACAAGAAAGAAGACAUUUCCAUGGAUAAAGUAAAUCACAUUCAAUUUGCAUUACAUGUGCAAUCUGCCCACAGUGGAAAGGCAGAAACGUGUUUUAAGCCUGGCCUUUGUCGCCCUCUUCAGGACAAACUCUGCAGCUGCGCAGAGCCUGAUUGAAAGCAAUUCUUUUCACUUGGUGUGGUUCCAUUGGAAAUGUAGGGCUCUAUUCACACAACCUUCAGGACUGUUCCAAGCACUGUUUGGUUAAAGACGCUUUAUAGUUUAAAUCAGGUUGUUUAGAGAGGGGGAGCAGUUUACUGUUUAUUAAUUUUAUUGUUUAUUAUUCAAAGCACCAUUUAAGGUCAACACUUUAUAAUCAGGUUUCAAAUUAAAACCAAAAUAUGAAUGUAAAGAAGGACCAUUUUAAUAACCAUUUUUUUUUUUUUAUGUUUCUGUACUUCAAUUAAUGCAAACGUUUUUUUCAUGUACUUUUUCUUUAAAUGUUUUGUAAAGUUUUAAUUUUCAAUAAAUGAUUUGU
Molecule: RNA transcript, 2906 nt
Organism: Acipenser ruthenus (sterlet)
Lineage: Eukaryota; Metazoa; Chordata; Actinopteri; Acipenseriformes; Acipenseridae
Gene name: tripartite motif-containing protein 16-like
Exons: 5
Source: RefSeq, a predicted model, not a curated record